CACAACUAAGCUAUCAUUGUAUUAGCUGCAUUGGAUUUGGAUUUAGCUGCUACAAUGCCAUUGCUGCACAAACAACACAUGAACGAGAGCGUUGGAGUGGCGGGCGGCCUGCUUGAUAUGCACGCUCACAGCCGCGCGCUAGGACGUCGCUCUCUGCCAAGCGCGUGAUUAAUUAACAUCCAGCUCGUAACCCCCGAAUUAGCGCCGGAGCACACGGGCUAAUGAGCUCACUGUGAUCCUGCAGGUUACAAUGACUCCUCCACCACAUCCAUCAGACCCAUCAGGCUCAGCUCUGAACGACAGAGAUGGACGUGACACUGGGAGAACGACUAGGCCUACACAGAAAAACCCAAGCAGAUACUGAAGACAUUACUAUUAUAAACU
This is a long non-coding RNA of Ictalurus punctatus (channel catfish), 384 nucleotides long. Lineage: Eukaryota; Metazoa; Chordata; Actinopteri; Siluriformes; Ictaluridae. The record is from Ensembl.